This 485-nucleotide ribosomal RNA is filed under the name uncultured bacterium. RNAcentral describes it as "partial 16S ribosomal RNA". It matches the Rfam family "Bacterial small subunit ribosomal RNA", at positions 30 to 506 of the family's 1533-position model. The record is from RNAcentral.
AUUGAACGCUGGCGGCAUGCCUUACACAUGCAAGUCGAACGGCAGCACGGGUGCUUGCACCUGGUGGCGAGUGGCGCACGGGUGAGUAAUACAUCGGAACAUGUCCUGUAGUGGGGGAUAGCCCGGCGAAAGCCGGAUUAAUACCGCAUACGAUCUACGGAUGAAAGCGGGGGACCUUCGGGCCUCGCGCUUUAGGGUUGGCCGAUGGCUGAUUAGCUAGUUGGUGGGGUAAAGGCCUACCAAGGCGACGAUCAGUAGCUGGUCUGAGAGGACGACCAGCCACACUGGGACUGGGACACGGCCCAGACUCCUACGGGAGGCAGCAGUGGGGAAUUUUGGACAAUGGGCGAAAGCCUGAUCCAGCAAUGCCGCGUGUGUGAAGAAGGCCUUCGGGUGGUAAAGCACUUUUGUCCGGAAAGAAAUCCUUGGCCCUAAUACGGUCGGGGGAUGACGGUACCGGAAGAAUAAGCACCGGCUAACUACGU